Molecule: unclassified non-coding RNA, 431 nt
Filed under: soil metagenome
Description: partial contains 5.8S ribosomal RNA, internal transcribed spacer 2, and large subunit ribosomal RNA
Rfam family: 5.8S ribosomal RNA (bases 1-120)
Source: RNAcentral
GAUGAAGAACGUAGCGAAAUGCGAUACGUAAUGUGAAUUGCAGAAUUCAGUGAAUCAUCGAAUCUUUGAACGCAUAUUGCGCUCUUUGGUAUUCCGAAGAGCAUGCUUGUUUGAGUAUCAGUAAACACCUCAAAAGAUUUUCAUUUUUGAAAUGAUUUUGGACUUGAGCAAUCCCAACACCAGUCUUCACGUAUCGGCGGAGGGUUGCUUGAAAUGCAGGUGCAGCUGGACAUUCUCCUGAGCUAAAAGCAUAUCUAUUUAGUCCCGUCAAACGGAUUAUUACUUUUGCUGCAGCUAACAUAAAGGGAGUUUGACCAUUUUGGCUGACUGAUGCAGGAUUUCACAAGGGUCGGUAAAACGAUUUUUGUAAAACUCGAUCUCAAAUCAAGUAAGACUACCCGCUGAACUUAAGCAUAUCAAUAAGCGGAGGA